Molecule: long non-coding RNA, 419 nt
Filed under: Pongo abelii (Sumatran orangutan)
Lineage: Eukaryota; Metazoa; Chordata; Mammalia; Primates; Hominidae
Description: lincRNA
Source: RNAcentral
GAGAGACAAAUACCAAGGACAUAUCAGGAAGAAUAUUGUCCCCAGUAAAUACCAAGGACACAUCAGGAAGAAUUUUGUGGAGAGAGAGGUAAAGAAUCAGGAUGGAAAUAGAAAAUAGGCCGAACAAUGGCCAAGCAUCAAAAUCCUAAGUCAGGACAGUGCUAGGACUGCUUUUUUCUAUAUCAGACACGUGGGCUCCUGCUGUGCCUUCCUGGAAAACAGAGGCCAAGGAUGGAGCAGACCAAGAGGAUGCCAGGAAAAAUCACAAAGAAGCCCAGAAAGCACAGCUGGAAGCCAAGAACCCUAUUUUUGGUUUGUGUGGGUGGAAGAUGAGGGACAAUAUAUAGUGACCAACAGGAUUCUUCAUCUGAAAGAGAAUGGAGUAUAUCAGACCUGUGUAUUUAGGUGAAGUAUGAUAA